This 20-nucleotide unclassified non-coding RNA is filed under the name Dictyostelium discoideum. The record is from RNAcentral. Lineage: Eukaryota; Evosea; Eumycetozoa; Dictyosteliales; Dictyosteliaceae.
UGCAGAUGAAGGACGCAACU